UACGGAGGGUGCAAACGUUGCUCGGAAUUAUUGGGCGUAAAGCGCACGUAGGCGGAUCGCUAAGUCGGGUGUGAAAUCCCUCAGCUUAACUGAGGAAGUGCAUUCGAAACUGACGAUCUUGAGUACGGAAGAGGGUCGCGGAAUUCCCGGUGUAGAGGUGAAAUUCGUAGAUAUCGGGAGGAACACCAGUGGCGAAGGCGGCGACCUGGGCCGAUACUGACGCUGAGGUGCGAAAGCGUGGGGAGCAAACAGG
RNAcentral lists this ribosomal RNA (253 nucleotides) under uncultured bacterium. Its description in RNAcentral is "partial 16S ribosomal RNA". It matches the Rfam family "Bacterial small subunit ribosomal RNA", at positions 524 to 776 of the family's 1533-position model. The record is from RNAcentral.